This 293-nucleotide ribosomal RNA is filed under the name uncultured bacterium. RNAcentral describes it as "partial 16S ribosomal RNA". The record is from RNAcentral.
GGACUACCGGGGUAUCUAAUCCCGUUCGCUCCCCACGCUUUCGUGCCUUAGUGUCAGUAAUGAGCCAGUAGACUGCUUACGCCAUCGGUGUUCCUCCUAAUAUCUACGGAUUUCACUCCUACACUAGAAAUUCCAUCUACCUCUCUCAUACUCAAGCUUAGUAGUUCAAACAAUGGGUGUAUGGUUGAGCCACACAAUUUCACUAUUUGCUUACUAUGCCACCUACGCAACUCUUUACGCCCAGUAAUUCCGGAUAACGCUUGGAUCCUCCGUAUUACCGCGGCUGCUGGCAC